Molecule: long non-coding RNA, 3449 nt
Filed under: Homo sapiens (human)
Lineage: Eukaryota; Metazoa; Chordata; Mammalia; Primates; Hominidae
Description: HSALNT0324038
Source: RNAcentral
GUGGGGCUCCAGCCCGGCCACGGGGAGACCUUUUCUCAGCAAAGGGCAGCACUGCUCGCUUUGCUGGGGCAGCCCUCCCAGGAAGAUCCCAGAAGAGAUGGUCUGAGGUGUGUGAACACUGUGAAUGUCAUGGACAAAGCUCAGCGUGGGACCCCAUGGGACUUCAGGUUAUUAAGAUGCCCUGAAAGCAGCAGAUCUCACCUGCAUUGGAGGAUGAGACGCCACAUGAAGAAGAAAGAAGACGCCACAGACAGCAGCGCAGUACCACCUUCCAGAGAUGUGAGUGUGACCGUCUUUGACCUUCUAGCCCAGCUGCUUUCCCUGAAUGCAAUGCAUGAGCAGGCCAGGCAAAACUAGAGAGGGAAGCUGCCCAGCUAACCCACAGAAUUAUGAGAGAUAAAAAAUCAUUGUCUUAAGCCACUAAGUCUGUUAUGCAGCAAUAUAUAGCAUUCAUUCAACUUUUGUCUCAUGAAUACUCUCAUUUCUUUUAUAAGUUCUUUUGUGGUUCAAAUUAGCUCAAAUCAGUUUCUGAUGCUUAUGACCAAAUGCCCCUAUGUGAUAGAUUUUGAGGGGUUAAGAAGCUUGCUCGGAUCACACAGCGGUAAGUAGCAGCACUUCAUCUUUAACCCACCUCUGGCCCACUCCCUUUCCAUAGGUCCUUGUUGCCUCCCUCCCUAAUCCCUUCCAGUCUAGUUUCCUCACUCAUUUUAGCAUCUUGAAGAUGCCUGACCUUUUGUAACAGGCACUUAGAAGAGGCAAUAAUCAAGCUGUGAGCUGGAAUACUGGGUUUCUCAUCCAAUAACCAGGUUGGCAGGUUGGUAACCAUACAAGGGACUUUUCAAACUGGAGAAUUAGUGUGCUGAGCACAAAGUGGUGAGUAUUUUGAGAGUUACUGAAAUAUAAUUGACAUAACAAUAAAAAUACAAUAUUUAAGUGCAUGUAUUUCAAGUGUACGAUUUGACAAGUUUGGUUAUAUUAUAUACACCUACGAAACCAUCACCACAAUUAAGAAAAUGAGCAUAGCUAUCACACACAAAAGUUUCCUUGUGCCCCUUGGUAAUUCCUCCCUCUCUCCUGCCCACAUCUCUCCUUUUCCCAGGCAAUCCCUGAUCUGAUUUCUGCCGCUAUCAAUUCGUUUGCAUUUCCUAGAAUUUUAAAUAACUGAAAACAUACAUUAAGAACUCUUUUUCUCUGGCCGAGUAUGGUGGCUCACGCCUGUAAUCCCAGCACUUUGGGUGGCCAAGGCGGGCAGAUCACCUGAGGUCAGGAGUUCGAGACCACCCUGGCCAACGUGGUGAAACCCUGUCUCUACUAAACAUACAAAAAUUAGCCAGGCAUGGUAAUGGGCAUCUGUAAUCCCAGCUACUCGCGAGGCUGAGGCAGGAGAAUUGCUUGAACCUGGGAGACAGAGGUUGCAGUGGGCUGAGAUCACGCCACUGCACUCCAGCAUGGACAACAGAGCGAGACUCCGUCCCCAAAAAAGAAAAAAAAAAAGAACUUUUUUUUCUCCAGCUUCUCCCACUUAGCAUAAUUAUGUUGAGAUUCAGCCAUGUUUUCCUGUGGAUCAAUAAUUUAUUUCUUUAUAUUGCCAAGUGGUAUUCCAUCGUAUGUAUAUACCAUAGUUUGUUUAUCCAUUCAACCACUGAAAGACAUUAGGGUUGUUUUCUGUUUUGGGUUAAUAAAACAAAGCUUCUGUGAACAUUUAUCUACAAGUCUUUGUGUGGAUAUAAGUUUCCAUUUCUCUUAGGUAAAUAUCUAGGGUCAUAAAAUAAGUAUAUACCUAAAUUUUGAAGAAACUACCAAACUAUUUUACAAAAUGGUUGUAUUAUUUUACCUUUUUGCCAGCCAUAUAUGAGAGUGUCAAUUCCUUCACAUUCUUGUCAAAACUUGAUGUGUUCAGUCUUUUUAAUUUUGACCAUUCUAAAAGCAUGUAAUGGGGCCGGGCACAGUGGCUCACACCUGUAAUCCCAGCACUUUGGGAGGCCGAGGCGGGCAGAUCACGAGGUCAGGAGAUCGAGACCAUCCUGGCUAACAUGGUGAAUAAUACUAAAAAUACAAAAAAUUAGCCGGGCAUGGUGGUGGAUGCCUGUAGUCCCAGGUACUCAGGCGGCUGAGGCAGGAGAAUGGCCUGAACCCAGGAGGCAGAGCUUGCAGUGAGCUGAGAUUGCGACACUGCACUCCAGCCUAGGUGACAGAGCGAGACUCUAUCUAAAAAAACAAAACAAAAAUGAAAAAAAAAAACACACAAAAACAUGUAAUGGUAUCCCAUUGUGGUUUUAACUCACAUUACUGUCAGAGGCAUUGGAACCAGAGUGACUCCAUCUUGAGCAGAGGCUAGAUAAAAUAAAGCUGAGACCUUCUGGGCUGCAUUCCCAGGAGGUUAGGCAUUCUUAGUCACAAGAUGAGAUAGGAAGUUGGCACAAGUUACAGGUCACAAAGACCUUGCUGAUAAAACUGGAUGCAGUAAAGAAGCUGGCCAAAACCCACCAAAACUAAGAUAGUGAUGAAAGUGACCUCUGGUUGUCCUUACUGCUCAUUAUAUGCUAAUUAUAAUGCAUUAGCAUGCUAAAAGACACUCCCACCAGUGCCAUAACAGUUUACCAGUGCCAUGGCAACAUCAGGAAGUUACCCUAUAUGGCCUGAAAAGGGGAGGAACCCUCAGUUCCAGGAAUUGCCCACCUCUUUCCUAGAAAACUCAUGAAUAAGUCACCCCUUGUUUAGCAUAAAAUCAAGAAGUAACAAUAAGUAUAAGCAGCUGAGCGGCCCAUGCUGCUGCUCUGUCUAUGGAGCAGCCAUUCCUUUAUUCCUUCACUUUCUUUGUUUUUUGUUUUUUGUUUUGUUUUUUUGUUUGUUUUGAGACAGAGUCUCACUGUGACACCUAGUUUGGACUGCAAUGGCGCGAUCUUGGCUCACUGAAACCUCCGCUUCCCAGGUUCAAACGAUUCUCCUGCCUCAGCCUUCCGAGUAGCUGGGACUACAGCAAGAAUGGCAACUGACCAGGUAGGCUUAUUUAAGUUUGCAUUGCUGGAACUUUUUACAAGUAAUCUCAGAUUAUGCUUUCAAGAGUUCUUGAAGCUAUAAAGCCAAGUCAAGCACCACCAGGCCUUAUCUGCAAUGCCUAGAGAUUCAGAUGGGUUCUUCUCUUCUUGAGGUCCUAAAAACAUCCUGAGUUUCUUUGGCCUGCCAGAAAGUCACCUUCCUGACUCACCUGUAAGGCUGGGAACUCCAUAAUCCAGUUGGAAAUGCAGAAAUCACCUGUCUUCUGCGUCGAUCAGGCUGGGAGCUGCAGACCGGAGCUGUUCCUAUUCGGCCAUCUUGGAAUGGACCCCCAUGUCUUAUUCUCAAAUAAAACAUUUUGGUCAAAGCCUUGAUUAUCUAAUCAAUUUUUAAAAUUAUGUUCUGUUACAAAAAGGACAGAUUCUUAUCGAACCCAUAUAAAAUAGUAUAUC